UGCCCCGUCGUCUAAAGGUAAGACAACGGUUUCUGAUACCGUUUAUCGUGGUUCGAAUCCACGCGGGGCAUCCA
RNAcentral lists this transfer RNA (74 nucleotides) under Sphingomonas arantia. RNAcentral's name for it is "tRNA-Gln". It matches the Rfam family "tRNA". From Rfam's summary of the family: Transfer RNA (tRNA) molecules are approximately 80 nucleotides in length. Their secondary structure includes four short double-helical elements and three loops (D, anti-codon, and T loops). RNAcentral also lists the same sequence under 1 other name. Lineage: Bacteria; Pseudomonadati; Pseudomonadota; Alphaproteobacteria; Sphingomonadales; Sphingomonadaceae. The record is from RNAcentral.